This 329-nucleotide unclassified non-coding RNA is filed under the name soil metagenome. RNAcentral describes it as "partial contains 5.8S ribosomal RNA, internal transcribed spacer 2, and large subunit ribosomal RNA". The stretch from base 1 to 120 matches the Rfam family "5.8S ribosomal RNA", at positions 35 to 154 of the family's 154-position model. The record is from RNAcentral.
GAUGAAGAACGUAGCGAAGUGCGAUAAGUAAUGUGAAUUGCAGAAUUCAGUGAAUCAUCGAAUCUUUGAACGCACAUUGCGCCCCCUGGUAUUCCGGGGGGCAUGCCUGUCCGAGCGUCAUUACAACCCUCAAGCUCAGCUUGGUGUUGGGCCCCGCCGCCCCGGCGGGCCCUAAAGUCAGUGGCGGUGCCGUCCGGCUCCGAGCGUAGUAAUUCUUCUCGCUCUGGAGGUCCGGUCGUGUGCUCGCCAGCAACCCCCAAUUUUUUUCAGGUUGACCUCGGAUCAGGUAGGGAUACCCGCUGAACUUAAGCAUAUCAAUAAGCGGAGGA